Molecule: ribosomal RNA, 484 nt
Filed under: uncultured bacterium
Lineage: Bacteria
Description: partial 16S ribosomal RNA
Rfam family: Bacterial small subunit ribosomal RNA
Source: RNAcentral
AGUGAACGCUGGCGGCAGGCCUAACACAUGCAAGUCGAGCGGCAGCGCGGGGGCAACCCUGGCGGCGAGCGGCGGACGGGUGAGGAAUUCGUCGGAAUCUGCCUGUUUGUGGGGGAUAACGUAGGGAAACUUACGCUAAUACCGCAUACGUCCUACUGGAGAAAGUGGGGGACCGCAAGGCCUCACGCAGAAAGAUGAGCCGACGACCGAUUAGCUAGUUGGUGGGGUAAAGGCCCACCAAGGCGACGAUCGGUAGCUGGUCUGAGAGGAUGAUCAGCCACAUGGGGAGUUGGACAGGGCCCAGACUCCUACGGGAGGGAGCAGUGUGGAAUGUUGGACAGUGGGCGCAAGCCUGAUCCAACGGUGCGGCGUGUGUGAAGAAGGCCUUCGGGUUGUAAAGCAGUUUUGUCCGGAAAGAAAUCCCUGGGGCUAAUACCUUCGGGGGAUGACGGUACCGGAAGAAUAAGCACCGGCUAACUUCGUG